UAGCUGUGACCAGGUCAAGUCUCUUGGA
Molecule: non-coding RNA, 28 nt
Filed under: Mus musculus (house mouse)
Lineage: Eukaryota; Metazoa; Chordata; Mammalia; Rodentia; Muridae
Source: RNAcentral